This 480-nucleotide ribosomal RNA is filed under the name Bacillus cereus. RNAcentral describes it as "bacterial SSU rRNA". It matches the Rfam family "Bacterial small subunit ribosomal RNA", at positions 88 to 553 of the family's 1533-position model. The record is from RNAcentral. Lineage: Bacteria; Bacillati; Bacillota; Bacilli; Caryophanales; Bacillaceae.
GAAGUUAGCGGCGGACGGGUGAGUAACACGUGGGUAACCUGCCCAUAAGACUGGGAUAACUCCGGGAAACCGGGGCUAAUACCGGAUAACAUUUUGAACCGCAUGGUUCGAAAUUGAAAGGCGGCUUCGGCUGUCACUUAUGGAUGGACCCGCGUCGCAUUAGCUAGUUGGUGAGGUAACGGCUCACCAAGGCAACGAUGCGUAGCCGACCUGAGAGGGUGAUCGGCCACACUGGGACUGAGACACGGCCCAGACUCCUACGGGAGGCAGCAGUAGGGAAUCUUCCGCAAUGGACGAAAGUCUGACGGAGCAACGCCGCGUGAGUGAUGAAGGCUUUCGGGUCGUAAAACUCUGUUGUUAGGGAAGAACAAGUGCUAGUUGAAUAAGCUGGCACCUUGACGGUACCUAACCAGAAAGCCACGGCUAACUACGUGCCAGCAGCCGCGGUAAUACGUAGGUGGCAAGCGUUAUCCGGAAUUA